GAAAGGAAUAAGCUAAAAUACAGCAUUUCUCAUUGAUUAAAGCAUGUCAUGAGGUUUGUUAGGACAGAAUGCAUAUGCUGGCCGUCCAUACCUGUUCCUGAUGCAUAGGGUUCCAGACACAAUAGAACUGGCUGUGAAAACCUGAGAGAGAGACUUUAUUUGGAGAAAAUGUGGCAGUGUGACCAGAAAAAAGACUCUUUCAAGAUUCCUGC
Piliocolobus tephrosceles (Ugandan red Colobus) is the source of this 212-nucleotide long non-coding RNA. RefSeq lists it as uncharacterized. The transcript is spliced from 3 exons. Lineage: Eukaryota; Metazoa; Chordata; Mammalia; Primates; Cercopithecidae. The record is from RefSeq and is a predicted model, not a curated record.